GACGAACGCUGGCGGCGUGCCUAAUACAUGCAAGUUGAGCGCUGAAGGUUGGUACUUGUACCAACUGGAUGAGCAGCGAACGGGUGAGUAACGCGUGGGGAAUCUGCCUUUGAGCGGGGGACAACAUUUGGAAACGAAUGCUAAUACCGCAUAAAAACUUUAAACACAAGUUUUAAGUUUGAAAGAUGCAAUUGCAUCACUCAAAGAUGAUCCCGCGUUGUAUUAGCUAGUUGGUGAGGUAAAGGCUCACCAAGGCGAUGAUACAUAGCCGACCUGAGAGGGUGAUCGGCCACAUUGGGACUGAGACACGGCCCAAACUCCUACGGGAGGCAGCAGGAGGGAAUCUUCGGCAAUGGACGAAAGUCUGACCGAGCAACGCCGCGGGAGUGAAGAAGGUUUUCGGAUCGUAAAACUCUGUUGGUAGAGAAGAACGUUGGUGAGAGUGGAAAGCUCAUCAAGUGACGGUAACUACCCAGAAAGGGACGGCUAACUACGUG
RNAcentral lists this ribosomal RNA (497 nucleotides) under uncultured bacterium. RNAcentral describes it as "partial 16S ribosomal RNA". It matches the Rfam family "Bacterial small subunit ribosomal RNA", at positions 28 to 507 of the family's 1533-position model. The record is from RNAcentral.